This 457-nucleotide ribosomal RNA is filed under the name uncultured bacterium. Its description in RNAcentral is "bacterial SSU rRNA". It matches the Rfam family "Bacterial small subunit ribosomal RNA", at positions 923 to 1379 of the family's 1533-position model. The record is from RNAcentral.
GCACAAGCGGUGGAGCAUGUGGUUUAAUUCGACGCAACGCGAAGAACCUUACCUGGGCUCGAAAUGUAGUGGAAUCCGGCAGAAACGUCGGCGUCUAGCAAUAGACCGCUAUAUAGGUGCUGCAUGGCUGUCGUCAGCUCGUGUCGUGAGAUGUUGGGUUAAGUCCCGCAACGAGCGCAACCCUUAUCUUCAGUUGCUACCAUUUAGUUGAGCACUCUGACGAAACCGCCUCGGAUAACGGGGAGGAAGGUGGGGAUGACGUCAAGUCCUCAUGGCCUUUAUGCCCAGGGCUACACACGUGCUACAAUGGGAGAGACAAAGGGCAGCUACCUAGCGAUAGGACGCUAAUCCCAAAAACUCUUUCUCAGUUCAGAUUGCAGUCUGCAACUCGACUGCAUGAAGCUGGAAUCGCUAGUAAUCGUAUAUCAGCAAUGAUACGGUGAAUACGUUCCCGGGC